This 1399-nucleotide ribosomal RNA is filed under the name Georgenia sp. JL700. RNAcentral describes it as "16S ribosomal RNA". It matches the Rfam family "Bacterial small subunit ribosomal RNA". The record is from RNAcentral. Lineage: Bacteria; Bacillati; Actinomycetota; Actinomycetes; Allobogoriellales; Allobogoriellaceae.
ACACAUGCAAGUCGAACGAUGAAGCCCAGCUUGCUGGGUGGAUUAGUGGCGAACGGGUGAGUAACACGUGAGUAACCUGCCCCUGACUUCGGGAUAACCACGAGAAAUCGUGGCUAAUACCGGAUAUGACACGUGCCCGCAUGGGUGUGUGUGGAAAGAUUUAUCGGUUGGGGAUGGGCUCGCGGCCUAUCAGCUUGUUGGUGGGGUGAUGGCCUACCAAGGCGACGACGGGUAGCCGGCCUGAGAGGGUGACCGGCCACACUGGGACUGAGACACGGCCCAGACUCCUACGGGAGGCAGCAGUGGGGAAUAUUGCACAAUGGGCGCAAGCCUGAUGCAGCGACGCCGCGUGAGGGAUGACGGCCUUCGGGUUGUAAACCUCUUUCAGUAGGGAAGAAGCCUUCGGGUGACGGUACCUGCAGAAGAAGCGCCGGCUAACUACGUGCCAGCAGCCGCGGUAAUACGUAGGGCGCAAGCGUUGUCCGGAAUUAUUGGGCGUAAAGAGCUCGUAGGCGGUUUGUCGCGUCUGCUGUGAAAACGCAAGGCUUAACCUUGCGCCUGCAGUGGGUACGGGCAGACUAGAGUGCGGUAGGGGAGACUGGAAUUCCUGGUGUAGCGGUGGAAUGCGCAGAUAUCAGGAGGAACACCGAUGGCGAAGGCAGGUCUCUGGGCCGUUACUGACGCUGAGGAGCGAAAGCAUGGGGAGCGAACAGGAUUAGAUACCCUGGUAGUCCAUGCCGUAAACGUUGGGCACUAGGUGUGGGAUCCAUUCCACGGGUUCCGUGCCGCAGCUAACGCAUUAAGUGCCCCGCCUGGGGAGUACGGCCGCAAGGCUAAAACUCAAAGGAAUUGACGGGGGCCCGCACAAGCGGCGGAGCAUGCGGAUUAAUUCGAUGCAACGCGAAGAACCUUACCAAGGCUUGACAUACACCGGAAAAGUGCAGAGAUGUGCUCCCCGUAAGGUCGGUGUACAGGUGGUGCAUGGUUGUCGUCAGCUCGUGUCGUGAGAUGUUGGGUUAAGUCCCGCAACGAGCGCAACCCUUGUCCUGUGUUGCCAGCGGGUUAUGCCGGGGACUCAUGGGAGACUGCCGGGGUCAACUCGGAGGAAGGUGGGGAUGACGUCAAAUCAUCAUGCCCCUUAUGUCUUGGGCUUCACGCAUGCUACAAUGGCCGGUACAAAGGGCUGCGAUACCGCGAGGUGGAGCGAAUCCCAAAAAGCCGGUCUCAGUUCGGAUUGGGGUCUGCAACUCGACCCCAUGAAGUCGGAGUCGCUAGUAAUCGCAGAUCAGCAACGCUGCGGUGAAUACGUUCUCGGGCCUUGUACACACCGCCCGUCACGUCAUGAAAGUCGGUAACACCCGAAGCCGGUGGCCCAACCCCUUGUGGGAGGGAGCUGUCG